UACGUAGGAUGCAAGCGUUAAUCGGAAUUACUGGGCGUAAAGCGUGCGCAGGCGGUUUUGUAAGUCAGAUGUGAAAUCCCCGGGCUUAACCUGGGAACUGCGUUUGAAACUACAAGGCUAGAGUGUGGCAGAGGGGGGUGAAAUUCCACGUGUAGCAGUGAAAUGCGUAGAGAUGUGGAGGAACACCGAUGGCGAAGGCAGCCUCCUGGGCUAGUACUGACGCUCAUGCACGAAAGCGUGGGGAGCAAACAGG
Molecule: ribosomal RNA, 253 nt
Filed under: uncultured bacterium
Lineage: Bacteria
Description: partial 16S ribosomal RNA
Rfam family: Bacterial small subunit ribosomal RNA
Source: RNAcentral